AUAAUAAUAGUAAUAAUAAUAAUAAUCAUAAUGAUAAAAUCAGUAAUAUUAAUAAUAUUACUAAAAUAAGUAUUAAUAAAAUAAAUAUUAUUAGUAAUAAUUCCAGAAAAUAUAAUUUCAUUAAUUGUAAUACAAUAACGUUAGUUAUAAGAUUAAUGAUAUAUAAUGUAAAACAAUUUAGGUAUCAAAGACUAUGCUGAUAAAAAAAAAAAAUAAUUAAAAGUAUAUUCAACUCUCGUUACGCAUGUAUACAUACACACAUGCAUAUAUGUACAUACGUAUGUCUUAUAUGCACAUGUUGUUGUUAUUAUUUAUCUUAUUUUAACUUCAACCAACUAUCAUAGUUUUCAUAGUAAAUGAUACUUAAGUAAUGCAAAUAAAAUAAACAAAUUAACUAACGUUAAAAAAAAAAAAAAAAAAAAAAUCAUUAUUUUUUUACUAUAAAAUGGACAGUCUUUUAUCAAACAGUUCAAAUGGAAAAACAAACAUAAAUAAUAAAAACAGUAAUAUAGGAAAAACAAAUUCUAAUGAAUGUGGAGUGAAGCAGAACUUACGUGUUGCUUCUUCUCCUGUCGAAGAAGAGGAAGAAGAAGAAGAUGAAGAAAAAAAAAAAAAAAAGAAAAAAAAAAAAAAAAAAAGAGAAAGCAAUUAAUGAAAAAAGAAAAAAGGAAGAGAAAGAAAAAAUUAAAAACCAAAUAGAUAAAGUGGUUGAAAAUGAUUUAGAGGUAAUGUCGAUCGAACAGUCGUUGAUAGACGAAACGGAAACAAACACACCAUCAGUUAUAAUAAAUAAAAAAAAGAAAAAAAAAAAGAAAAAAAAAGAAGAGGAAGAAGAAGUAAAAACAAAGGAAGUAAAAGUAGAUGAUGUAAAAGUAGAUGAUGUAAAAGUAGACGAUGUAAAAGUAGACGAUGUAAAAACAGAGGAAGUAAAAACAGAGGAAGUAAAAACAGAGGAAUUAAUGGUAAAAGACCAAUUGGAUGAGUUAGAAAAAGGAAAAGAAAAAAAAAGUAAAAAAAAAAAAAAUAAGGAAAAAAAAAGUAAGGAAAGAAAAAUAGAAGAUGAAAAAAUGAAGGAAAAGCAAGCAUCGGAAGAGCACAUGCUAAAAGAACAUAUAUCAGAAGAACAAAUAAUAACAGAACAAGCACCAAAAGAACGAACGGUUAGAGGAAAAAUAAAUAAGGAAAAAAAGAGUAAAGAAAAAAAAAAUAAGAACAACACAGAAAGUUCAAACGAACAAACUGCGGUCACAGAUAUAGCAUUAAACAAAAAACAAUUAGUAAGCGCUUCUAUAGAAAAAGAGACAAAAGGUAUAACACAAAUAAUAACGACAUAUAUAGAAAAAAAAGAAGAAGAAAAAGGAGAAAAAGAAAAAGAGGAAGAAAAAGAAGAAGAAGGAAAGGAAGAGGAAGAAAAAGAAGAAGAAAAAGAAGAAGAAAAAGAAGAAGAAAAAGAAGAAAAAGAAAAAGAGGAAGAAAAAGAAGAAGAAGGAGAAGAAGAGGAAGAAAAAGAAGGAGAUAAUAAUAAUGAAGUAAACAAUGAAAUAGAAAAAACAUGUAAAGAUGUUCAAUAUAUUAACGAAGAAAUUAACAUGUCGGAUGAAUCAGAUCGGAUAAACGUUAACCAUUCAGAAACGCAUAAAAGCAAUAUAUGCAUUGUCAACUCGCUGCAAGAUAUAUCGAGUAUUUCAUCGUUUAGUAGAUCAAGUAGCAAAGACAGUAAGAUAUGUAACAAAUUUAAGUACAAUGAUAAAUCACAAGUUUUUGAUUUAACAUGUCAUAUUGAAAAUAAUAUUAAUAAUUACAAAAAAGUUUUAAACGAAGUGAACUUAGAAAUAUAUGAAAGGGAAUGUAUUAAUGAUAUUAUAUUAUUUCAUAAUAAAAAAUUAAAAUAUUUGCAAACAAAAAAAAACAAAUUAAUAGAAAAUGAAAAUUUGUCAGAUUCUGAUUCUAACGAGGAAUAUAGUUACACUUUAAAUAGCAGCACAUCAGAAGAAAACAAAGAAGAAAUUAUAAAAAAUUUUGAACAGUAUAACUUGGAUGUGAUAAACAACUCAUAUGGCGAUAAUGAUAAUGAUAAUGAUAAUAAUGAUGAUGUUUGUGAAACUGAGUUUUUAAAAAAAGAAAAAAAAAAAGAAAAAAAAAAAGAAGAAAAACAAGAAGAAACCAAAAUAACUGCAAAAUUAAAAAAAAUGGAAGGAGGAGGACUUAACAAAAUAACAGAAGAAUGUAAAAAAGGAACAGAACGACAAAAAAAAACAAAAGAUGCGUUAAAAAAAAUAACAGAUAAAUCUAAUAAAAUAGCAGAGGUAUCUAAAAAAAUAACAGAAGGACAAGAACAAAAAGGAGAAGUAGAUUCUUUAAAAGGUAGCAUAAAACAGAUUUAUAACAAAAUGUCGAAUAACAAUGAAAAAAACAUAGAAAAGUGUAAAAAUUCUAUACAGGAUGAUAACAUAAUUUUAUAUAAUAUUAAAACGGGUAAAAACGAAGAUAAAAAAGGUGUAGUUAAACAAGCGAAACAACAACAACAACAACAACAACAACAACAACAACAACAACAACAANNNNNNNNNNACAACAACAACAACAACAACAACAACAACAACAACAACAACAACAACUACAACUACAAACGGAAACAGAAACAGAAACAAGCGACAUAAGUGAUGAAGAAGAUGAAUACGAAAAAAAGACGUUUAGUGAUGAGCACAAAAAGAGUAUAAGUAAUGAUGAAUACGAAAAAGGAGGAACUAGGGAAAAGGACAAGCAAAAAGAUGAUACUAUUUUAGAUCAAAUAAAUUUCAACAAAGAAAAAAAUGCUUACA
This 2822-nucleotide long non-coding RNA is filed under the name Piliocolobus tephrosceles (Ugandan red Colobus). RNAcentral's name for it is "lncRNA (ENSPTEG00000004265.1)". Lineage: Eukaryota; Metazoa; Chordata; Mammalia; Primates; Cercopithecidae. The record is from RNAcentral.